CACGGGGGGAGCAAGCGUUGUUCGGAAUCACUGGGCGUAAAGAGCGUGUAGGCGGCCACGCAGGUCCGUUGUGAAAACUGGAGGCUCAACCUCCAGCUGUCGACGGAAACCGUGUGGCUAGAGUCCGGAAGAGGAGAGUGGAAUUCCUGGUGUAGCGGUGAAAUGCGCAGAUAUCAGGAAGAACACCAAUGGCGAAGGCAGCUCUCUGGGACGGUACUGACGCUGAGACGCGAAAGCGUGGGGAGCGAACAGG
Molecule: ribosomal RNA, 253 nt
Filed under: uncultured bacterium
Lineage: Bacteria
Description: partial 16S ribosomal RNA
Rfam family: Bacterial small subunit ribosomal RNA
Source: RNAcentral